GUAUUCUUUUUAUUUGACAUAUAAUAAAAUAUAAAUAAAUACAUGUCUGCAUAAAUUGUAACUCAUUAAUAUACAUUUUUCCAGAUUCAAUUUACAAGAUUGGUGCGAGUUCAAUUAAAUCUCAACUUUAUUGCCGAGGUGAGUUUGAGGAGAUUAUUUUCAGUAUUAAAAAUAUUAUAAUUCUCUUUAACACGCACGUAAAAACACACAAGUUGUAACAAACCUGCGGCCGACUUGUAGCAAUGCUGUUCCAACAACUUGUCAACAGGAUGUGUUCGCACUGCUUGUUCCCAGCUUGUUGACAACUUGCUACAAGGUUGUUGAACUCAAGAGGCUUGUUACAAGUUGUUCCAACAACUUGUUAUCGUCCUGCAAUUCAACAAUUUGUCAACAAGUUGUGAGUGACAACCUUGUAGCAACUUGAUAAAAUAACAACAUUUUUACAACUUGUUGACAAGCUUGCUACAAGCCUGUUGGGAACACAUCUUGUUGACAAGUUGUGAGAUUUUUACGUGUGUUGAAGCGGUUUUAAACAACGUAUACAGAGCGUAUUCAGCUUUUAAGCAUCUGAAACAUACAAGUGAAGGUUUUCUUCAUGUUCAUUUACGACAGGGAGUUUCCAGUUUUGGCCGCUUUGUCGAUACCCUGUGUUCAAUGUCCUUCCAUUCACCUCUUCAUCACCUAAGAAUAUAAAAAAACAUAAGUUAAUGUUCUUCAAAACCUUGGCUA
This is a non-coding RNA of Paramuricea clavata, 729 nucleotides long. NCBI's taxonomy places the organism in Eukaryota, Metazoa, Cnidaria, Anthozoa, Malacalcyonacea, Plexauridae. The record is from the annotation of a GenBank genome assembly.